UUAAGAGUUUGAUCCUGGCUCAGGAUGAAUGCUAGCAGUGCGCCUGAGAUAUGCAAGUCGAGCGUUGCCUUGAUGGAGCUUGCUCCAGAUGGGAAGCGGCGGACGGCUGAGUAAUACGCAGGAACUUGCCCCUAGGUAGGAAAUAGCUCACCGAAAGGUGGGGUAAUGCCCUAUAGUCCCCGACGUAAGUUGGGGUAAAGGCUUCGGCCGCCAAGGGAUAGUCCUGUGUCCUAUCAGGUAGUUGGUAUGGGUAACGGCCUACCAAGCCUAUGACGGGUAGCUGGCCUCAUGAGGGUGGUCAGCCAGAGGGGGACUGAGACACGGCCCCCACUCCUACGGGAGGCAGCAAUCAGGA
This 355-nucleotide ribosomal RNA is filed under the name Candidatus Roizmanbacteria bacterium CG_4_10_14_0_2_um_filter_36_9. RNAcentral describes it as "bacterial SSU rRNA". It matches the Rfam family "Bacterial small subunit ribosomal RNA", at positions 1 to 360 of the family's 1533-position model. The record is from RNAcentral. Lineage: Bacteria; Candidatus Roizmaniibacteriota.